Molecule: long non-coding RNA, 4595 nt
Organism: Salvelinus fontinalis (brook trout)
Lineage: Eukaryota; Metazoa; Chordata; Actinopteri; Salmoniformes; Salmonidae
Exons: 4
Source: RefSeq, a predicted model, not a curated record
CCUUAAGAGGCUUUUGUGGCCGUGUGUUGUAGUUUGCUGAUUAAAUAUCACGUGGUACGUUGGUAAUGCCCAGUGGAGCGUUUGAACCCUGGAUGUGUGAAGAAUCCUGUUGGAGCCUUUGUGCUUGGGCUGUGUACCAUAACUUCAUCCACUGGAACAAUACGGGAUAGGAAGACAGGAAGAGGCUCUUCUCACACUUACUCAUUUAUUAACUUUGUGGGGCUCUUGUUUAAGUGGAAAAUCCCUCCGUCCAAUAAAGGAGGAGAAGAAAGAUCCCAAUUCACCAUCGUUUUUUUUUAUUCCCGUUUUUCAUCUGUUCUCUAAAUCGCAUUCUCAUUGAAGGGUCGCCUUUUUUUUCGUCCGUUUUUUGGGGGUUCGUUGGGGACAUUUCUCCAGCGCAUUAUUGGUGUGGGACAAUGGGCAGGACUCACCCUAAUUCAGGAAUUUCUCUCUGUUUUUUCUUCUUUCUACUUCCUCUCUCUGUCCGUGGAUACGGUGGUCCCGGCGAAGUUUAGACACUCCAGCACAGAGCCUAUAAGAGGAACCAGGUUGAGACACUGCUCCAGAUUCUAGCACUUCCUGGGACAGACGUCAACGUGAAAGGCCUGGGAGGUGAAGAUCAAGUCAUGUGUCCUCCGAAACAUGACCCACCAAACUGCGCUUCUUAACACUCACCCGCUUAACCCGGAAGCCAGCCGCACCAAUAUGUCGGAGGAAACACUGUUCACCUGACGACCGAGGUCAGCCUAUAGGCCCCCGGCCCGCCACAAGGAGUCACUAAACCGCGAUGAGCCAAGACAAGCCCUCCCGAGCAAACCCUCCCCUAACCUAUGGGACUCCCAAUCACGGCCGGUUGUGAUACAGCUCGGGACCAAACCAGGUUGUACGUGUGUUUACUCCUCAGACCAUGCAGGCUGGACGCCCCUGUAGAGGCGUGUAACCAUGGCAGCAUUGCAUGUGUGGAGGCCCUGCUGUGCCACCGGCCCGUCCCUCACCUGAACGGCCAGGUGGGCGGAGUCAGUCUGCUACACGAUGCUCUGUGGACACACAGACAUCGACAAGAUGCUCCAGCAUGCAGGAUCUGCUGCAGCAGAAAGACGGCCAUGGCCAGACUGCACUGGAGCUGGUUUCAAAUGCCAUGCUGAGGGAGGAGCUUUGACGCAGCGCCCUGACUGGAGAAGUGGCCCUGGAGGCAAUGAGGUCAGGGGCCUGCCCUUCCUGGAGGCCUGCUCCUGCCUGCUGACCCAUUGGCUCUUCAACCUCCUCCUCCUCCUCCUCUAGAACAUGCCCUGGGAUGAAUCCCGGCCCACAUGUCAAACUGAUUGUGUCAUUCAUAGUCUCAGGGGCCAUUUUGUUCUCGAUUUACAUUUUUAUAAACAUUUAUCCUGUGACAUCCCACUGCUAAUCUUUUUACUCUUUUUAGCAAUUGUUCACACUUGUUCAUGUUAUUUUGUGUUUUGUCAGCAGUGUUUUUAUAGAUUAUGUAUAAAUAUAUUUUGUAUUGGGAAUUGGUGCAAUAUGUAAUGUUAAGAUAACUAAGAUAAUUAGGUACUAUUACAAAUGUAUGUGUGAAUAGGAAAUGUGUUUUUUGCAUAUCCCACUCCCUCUGAGACCCUCUGAGACUCCCUCUGAGACCCUCUGAGACCCUCUGAGACCCUCUGAGACACCCUGAGACCCUCUGAGACACCCUCUGAGACCCUCUGAGACCCUCUGAGACCCUCUGAGACCCUCUGAGACACCCUCUGAGACCCUCUGAGACCCUCUGAGACCCUCUGAGACACCCUCUGAGACCCUCUGAGACCCUCUGAGACACCCUCUGAGACCCUCUGAGACCCUCUGAGACACCCUCUGAGACCCUCUGAGACCCUCUGAGACCCUCUGAGACACCCUCUGAGACCCUCUGAGACCCUCUGAGACCCUCUGAGACACCCUCUGAGACCCUCUGAGACACCCUCUGAGACACCCUCUGAGACCCUCUGAGACCCUCGGAGACUCCCUCUGAGACCCUCUGAGACACCCUCUGAGACACCCUCUGAGACACCCUCUGAGACCCUCUGAGACCCUCUGAGACCCUCGGAGACUCCCUCUGAGACACCCUCUGAGACCCUCUGAGACCCUCUGAGACCCUCUGAGACCCUCUGAGACCCUCUGAGACCCUCGGAGACUCCCUCUGAGACACCCUCUGAGACCCUCUGAGACCCUCUGAGACACCCUCUGAGACACCCUCUGAGACCCUCUGAGACCCUCUGAGACCCUCUGAGACACCCUCUUAGACCCUCUGAGACCCUCUGAGACCCUCUGAGACACCCUCUGAGACCCUCUGAGACUCCCUCUGAGACCCUCUGAGACCCUCUGAGACCCUCUGAGACACCCUCUGAGAGUGGGGUCAGAGCCAGGCAUCAGCGGUUGAUAAUGCAAUUCACAGCCGCAGUACAACUUCCUCACCUGAAUGGAACCAAGGGCUAUGUAGAUAGGUAGGUUUAACCAAUUACAGCAGACUUUUUUAAACUAUGGGUUGGAAAACCAAAGUGGAUCAUACUGUAGGUAUGUAAAAAGUGGCAAAACAUUUUCUGUCUGGGGUGGGGUGGCGAGUGGGGGGUAAUUGUGCUCAGGGGUUUUCCUCAUUCAGGCCGAGAUUCAAUCAAAGGUGUGUUAUAGAGCAUCGCUCGAAACAACUGCUGACAAUGCACAUUUAAAUGUACCUUGGAUUGAAUUACAGCCUCAAUGGGCAAGUUCAGUUUGCCUUCCCCGGUGCCCUGGGUAGUUUGUGAUUUCACUUUAGGACCAUUGGAAUGUUCUAAAAUAAGCAACUCGAUGGGAAUAAGUAGACCCUAGACAGCUGUUAUAAAAAAUGUAAAUAAUAAUAUAUAAAUCCUGUCUCUGUAAAUGGGCGUUUCCUCUCUCGCGUGAUCACACCAGAGAUUAUGGAGGAACUGGGAUUUCAUGCGUGAAGCAUGCUCAUGUGAGAGCGGGAAUGACAACUCACACAGACCAGGACCUUUUCAUUUUUUCAAUGAAAAACUGCCUUUAUAAGACGACAUCAUUAUACAGCAUCUUUGUAUGGGCAAUGCAAAACUAAUCUUGUUCUAAAGGAAGCUCCGUUUCAAGUGCUGAACUACCGUAAUUGGUUCAAUGAACACUCAGUGGGCAGAGCUUGGAGUGAAAUGUCAGUGGGCAGAGCUUGGAGUGAAACGUCAGUGGAGUGAGGUGAGAGUCAAAUAAAAAAAAAGGUCUUAAGUUGGAGGUGCAUGGAGGACAUUACAUGCUGACCACAACCUGCAAGGUUGUCAGUUUGAAUCCUGUUUGCCACUUUUGUUUUCCAACCAUACCCAACAUUCUUAACUAACGACACGUUUCUAAUCUAACUUUCGACGUUUCUAACUUCCUGACUGAACAGAAUGAAACAUGUGAAAAAAUUUAUCUGUUGCUUUCCCCCCUGCUUUCCCCUAUCUUGCUGAUGCCCGUUCUGUAAUAAGGUCUAUUUAUGUUACCUUUCCGUAGCAAGGAACCUCCAUGUCUUUGUGAGACGCAGAGUAAGUGAACAUAUGAUCUCCGCAUGUGUGGUUCCCACCGUGAAGCAUGGAGGAGGAUUUGUGAUAGUGCUUUGCUGGUGACACUGUCUGUGACCGCUGUGCCACACUUAACCAGCAUGGCUACCACAGCAUUCUGCAGCGAUACGCCAUCCCAUCUGGUUUAGGGGGACUAUCAUUUGUUUUUCAACAGGACAAUGACCCAACACACCUCCAGGAUGUGUAAGGGCUAUUUGACCAAGAAGGAGAGUGCUGCAUCAGAUGACCUGGCCUCCACAAUCACCCAAUCUCAACCCAACUGAGAUGGUUAGGGAUGAGUUGGACCGCAGAGUGAAGGAAAAAGCAGCCAACAAGUGCUCAGCAUAUGUGGGAACUCCUUCAAGACUAUUGAAAAAGCAUUCGAGGUGUAGCUGGUUGAGAGAAUGCCAAGAGUGUGCAAAGCUGUCAUCAAGGCAAAGGGUGUCUACUUUAAAGAAUCUCAAAUAUAUUUUGAUUUGUUUAACACUUUUUUGGUUACUAUUAUUCUACAAUGUAGAAAAUAGUAAAAAUAAAGAAAAACCCUUGAAUGAGUAGUUGUGUCCAAACUUUUGACUGGUACUGUAUAUAUUAUGGGAGAUUGGAAAUCAUGCAGACAAUUAAAUUGAUAGAAGCCACAAUCUAUAUACAAUAUUAAAGCUGAUCUACCCCCUAAAGAAAAAUAAAUAAAUAAAAGGAAUCAAGGAAUCAAAAUACAAUUGAGAUUCACUCCAUCUAUUCACUCUAAACCCUUUCCAAAACCCUGUUCUUCGAGUUAGGCCAGGAUUCAAUCGAACUGCAGGUUGUCCUUAACGUGGCUUUAAUAGGCAAUGGUCCCGAGCUAGCGGAGAUCUCACUCACUAGUAAACAAUGUUGACUCAAUCGGAAAUUACUUUAAAAGCUGCACUGUCGACAACCACCAGUCGGAUUGCAUUGUCCUAGCAACGCCAGGGAUUUGGUUUUGAUUUAUACUGAACAAAAUAUAAAACGCAACAUGGAAAGUGUUGGUCCCAUGUUUCAUGAGGUGAAAUAAAAUAUCCCAGAAAUGUU